Molecule: non-coding RNA, 302 nt
Organism: Danio rerio (zebrafish)
Lineage: Eukaryota; Metazoa; Chordata; Actinopteri; Cypriniformes; Danionidae
Source: RefSeq, a predicted model, not a curated record
GGCAGAUAGUGCUGACGCUGGACCAGCAGACGAGACAGAUCCAGGAUAGCAGAGAUAUACUGACGGGGCUUCCUGAUGGAGAGACCGAGAGAAGGGUGUGUUGUCCACCUGAGGCGGUCAGGAGGGAUCUGAUGUAGUCCGGGUGGAACAGACGAACCAUGUUAUAGAAGGGGCCGAGAAACCAGGAGCAGGAAUGACCGUAUUUACAGACCAGAUCAUCCACACGCUGCAGACCCUCCUCAUUAUGACCCAUCUGAAGCACGCAGAUAAACACACGCAUACAGAAUAAAGCAUUAUCAGUA